Molecule: ribosomal RNA, 698 nt
Filed under: uncultured Glomeromycotina
Lineage: Eukaryota; Fungi; Glomeromycota
Description: SSU rRNA
Rfam family: Eukaryotic small subunit ribosomal RNA
Source: RNAcentral
GGGUUCGAUUCCGGAGAGGGAGCCUGAGAAACGGCUACCACNNNNNNNGAAGGCAGCAGGCGCGCAAAUUACCCAAUCCCGACACGGGGAGGUAGUGACAAUAAAUAACAAUACGGGGCUCUUUCGGGUCUCGUAAUUGGAAUGAGUACAAUUUAAAUCCCUUAACGAGGAACAAUUGGAGGGCAAGUCUGGUGCCAGCAGCCGCGGUAAUUCCAGCUCCAAUAGCGUAUAUUAAAGUUGUUGCAGUUAAAAAGCUCGUAGUUGAAUUUCGGGAUUGACACAUCGGUCGUGCCUUAAGGGGUAUGAACUGGUGUAGUCAAUUUCUCACCUUCUGGAGAACCACGAUGCCCUUAAUUGGGUGUCGCGGGGAACCAGGACCUUUACUUUGAAAAAAUUAGAGUGUUUAAAGCAGGCAUUUUGCUUGAAUACAUUAGCAUGGAAUAAUAAAAUAGGACGGCAUGAUUCUAUUUUGUUGGUUUCUAGGAUCACCGUAAUGAUUAAUAGGGAUAGUUGGGGGCAUUAGUAUUCAAUUGUCAGAGGUGAAAUUCUUGGAUUUAUUGAAGACUAACUACUGCGAAAGCAUUUGCCAAGGAUGUUUUCAUUAAUCAAGAACGAAAGUUAGGGGAUCGAAGACGAUCAGAUACCGUCGUAGUCUUAACCAUAAACUAUGCCGACUAGGAAUCAGACGAUGUUAAUUU